Molecule: long non-coding RNA, 514 nt
Organism: Megachile rotundata (alfalfa leafcutting bee)
Lineage: Eukaryota; Metazoa; Arthropoda; Insecta; Hymenoptera; Megachilidae
Source: RefSeq, a predicted model, not a curated record
GAACAUGGAUCGCAAUUCCCUGUCCGCGCUAUGGAAAACGGUGCCAUUGUCGCUCCACAUGGUGGCACAGCAGCCUCUUCGCCCCACAAAUCUUCGGAAAGCCGCGAUAAACGAUGCUGAGAAGUACGCAGCAUUAUGGGCCCUGCAUAGUCCACGCCUGAUGUGAGGAAAGCACGCUGCGGGGUCACUCGGUCUAGAGGCAGCUGUCCCAUCAAUUGCUUGGCUGGAACUCCACCGUAUCUUGCGCAACGAACGCAAUUUUUUAUGACUUGACGGACCAAAGGACGGCCAUGGAGAAUCCAAAAUUUUCUUAAUAGCAGGCUCCUGGUCAGUUGCGGUCCACCAUGGAAAGUGUGCAGGGAAGCAGCGCGUUCCCCAGUCGCCCCCCCACCCGAAGCACCCCAUGAGGAUCGAGAAAGGGCUUCAGCGAGGCGAGAGGCGACGUCUUCUUUACUUCGCUGCGCUGCUGGAGACGUUGAAUUUCCUCCGGAAAGCUGGUCCCUUGGGAAAGCCG